RNAcentral lists this ribosomal RNA (523 nucleotides) under uncultured Gallionellaceae bacterium. RNAcentral describes it as "partial 16S ribosomal RNA". It matches the Rfam family "Bacterial small subunit ribosomal RNA", at positions 8 to 526 of the family's 1533-position model. Lineage: Bacteria; Pseudomonadati; Pseudomonadota; Betaproteobacteria; Nitrosomonadales; Gallionellaceae. The record is from RNAcentral.
AGAGUUUGAUCCUGGCUCAKAUUGAACGCUGGCGGUACGCUUUACACAUGCAAGUCGAACGGAUUAAKAAGSUUGCUUCUUAKUUAGUGGCGAACGGGUGAGUAAUAUAUCGGAACAUAUCCGGAAGUGGGGGAUAACGUAKSGAAAGUUACGCUAAUACCGCAUAUGCCCUGAGGGGGAAAGGGGGGGAUUCGUAAGAACCUCUCGSUUUCGGAGUGGCCGAUAUCGGAUUASCUAGUAGGUGAGGUAAAGGCUCACCUAGGCGACGAUCCGUARCUGGUCUGAGAGGACRACCAGCCACACUGGAACUGAGACACGGUCCASACUCCUACGGGAGGCAGCAGUGGGGAAUUUUGGACAAUGGGCGAAAGCCUGAUCCAGCCAUACCGCGWGAGUGAAGAAGGCCUUCGGGUUGUAAAGCUCUUUCAGCCGGAAAGAAAUUGCUUCUAUUAAUACUAGGAGUAGAUGACGGUACCGGAAGAAGAAGCACCGGCUAACUACGUGSCAGCAGCCGCGGUAAUAC